RNAcentral lists this ribosomal RNA (468 nucleotides) under uncultured bacterium. RNAcentral describes it as "partial 16S ribosomal RNA". It matches the Rfam family "Bacterial small subunit ribosomal RNA", at positions 28 to 507 of the family's 1533-position model. The record is from RNAcentral.
GACGAACGCUGGCGGCGUGCUUAAUACAUGCAAGUCGAACGGAAAGUCGCUGCGUUUGCGUGGUGCUCGAUUGGCGAACGGGUGAGUAUCACGUGAGUAACCUUCCCUUGACUUUGGGAGAACUUUACGAAACUGGGGCUAAUACCGGAUAGGAUCUCCUGCUGCAUGGUGGGGGUUGGAAAGUUUCGGUUGUUGUGUAUGGAAUGGUGGGUUAUCAGCUUGAUGGUGUGGUAGUGGCUUUCCAAGGCUUUGACGGGUAGGCGGCAUGAGAGGGUGAACGGCCACAUUGGGACUGAGAAAGGGCGCAGCCUACUACGUGCGGCAACAGUGGUGAAUAUUGCACAAUGGGGGGACGACUGAUGCAGCAAAGACGCGUGCGGGAUGAUGGCUUACGGGUUGUAAACAGUUUUCGCAUGUGACGAAGCGUGAGUGACGGUAAUUGGUAAGAAAGCACCGGCUAACUACGUG